UUUACAAGCAUCAUUGCUA
Molecule: unclassified non-coding RNA, 19 nt
Filed under: Mus musculus (house mouse)
Lineage: Eukaryota; Metazoa; Chordata; Mammalia; Rodentia; Muridae
Description: oocyte_clustered_small_RNA7871
Source: RNAcentral